CUCGUAGGCGGUUCGUCGCGUCCGGUGUGAAAGUCCAUCGCUUAACGGUGGAUCCGCGCCGGGUACGGGCGGGCUUGAGUGCGGUAGGGGAGACUGGAAUUCCCGGUGUAACGGUGGAAUGUGUAGAUAUCGGGAAGAACACCAAUGGCGAAGGCAGGUCUCUGGGCCGUCACUGACGCUGAGGAGCGAAAGCGUGGGGAGCGAACA
Molecule: ribosomal RNA, 207 nt
Filed under: uncultured bacterium
Lineage: Bacteria
Description: partial 16S ribosomal RNA
Rfam family: Bacterial small subunit ribosomal RNA
Source: RNAcentral